CUUCUUAGAAUGGAAACCCAAUAUUAUCACCGUUGAUUCCUGCAUUUCAAAACCCAAUUUGAUGGUGAUGUGCCAUAGUUAGUCCGUUGUGCUACUGGAUUAAAAAUGGUACCAGGAACACUGAAUCAGUGUACGAGAUUGAGGACCAUAACCAAUAACUUCUUAGACCAUCAGCCAGCCGAGCUCUUCAAAACACAAUACAGAACUGACAUUCAUUAAACAACCACCACCUUUAUCACCUACACAAGAAGACAGCUAGGUCCCUCAUAUUUAAUGGAUAUUUUAAGUCUUAAAUACCACCACAAAGGACACUUACUUGUUUGCCGUCUCCUCUCAUCUUCU
This 342-nucleotide long non-coding RNA is filed under the name Panax ginseng (ginseng). RNAcentral describes it as "long non-coding RNA (PGIN_LNC018327)". The record is from RNAcentral. Lineage: Eukaryota; Viridiplantae; Streptophyta; Magnoliopsida; Apiales; Araliaceae.